RNAcentral lists this ribosomal RNA (466 nucleotides) under Klebsiella pneumoniae subsp. pneumoniae. RNAcentral describes it as "bacterial SSU rRNA". It matches the Rfam family "Bacterial small subunit ribosomal RNA", at positions 338 to 796 of the family's 1533-position model. Lineage: Bacteria; Pseudomonadati; Pseudomonadota; Gammaproteobacteria; Enterobacterales; Enterobacteriaceae. The record is from RNAcentral.
CCUAUGGGAGGCAGCAGUAGGGAAUCUUCCACAAUGGACGCAAGUCUGAUGGAGCAACGCCGCGUGAGUGAAGAAGGGUUUCGGCUCGUAAAGCUCUGUUGUUGGUGAAGAAGGACAGGGGUAGUAACUGACCUUUGUUUGACGGUAAUCAAUUAGAAAGUCACGGCUAACUACGUGCCAGCAGCCGCGGUAAUACGUAGGUGGCAAGCGUUGUCCGGAUUUAUUGGGCGUAAAGCGAGCGCAGGCGGCUCGAUAAGUCUGAUGUGAAAGCCUUCGGCUCAACCGGAGAAUUGCAUCAGAAACUGUCGAGCUUGAGUGCAGAAGAGGAGAGUGGAACUCCAUGUGUAGCGGUGAAAUGCGUAGAUAUAUGGAGGAACACCAGUGGCGAAGGCGGCUCUCUGGUCUGUAACUGACGCUGAGGCUCGAAAGCGUGGGUAGCGAACAGGAUUAGAUACCCAGGUAGUCC